AGCUCCAUUGGCGUAUAUUAAAGUUGUUGCGGUUAAAAAGCUCGUAGUUGGAUCUGUGUAUCGGACGGUCGGUUCGCCGCUCGCGGCGUUUAACUGACCGGUCCGGGCGUCCUGCCGGUGGGCCCCGGUUCGCGCCGGGGCCCGUAACUCCCUCCGCGCUGCUCUUAACCGAGUGGUUCGGUGGGCCGGCACGUUUACUUUGAACAAAUUUGAGUGCUCAAAGCAGGCCUUAUGUUGCCUGAAAACUGUGUGCAUGGAAUAAUGGAAUAGGGCCUCGGUUCUAUUUUGUUGGCUUUUCUGAACCCGAGGUAAUGAUUAAUAGGGACAGACGGGGGCAUUCGUAUUGCGACGUUAGAGGUGAAAUUCUUGGAUCGUCGCAAGACGGACCGAUGCGAAAGCGUUUGCCAAGAAUGUUUUCGCUAAUCAAGAACGAAAGUUAGAGGUUCGAAGGCGAUCAGAUACCGCCCUAGUUCUAACCAUAAACGAUGCCAGCCAGCGAUGCGCCGAAGUUCCUCCGAUGACUCGGCGCGCAGCUUCCGGGAAACCAAAGCUUUUGGGUUCCGGGGGAAGUA
RNAcentral lists this ribosomal RNA (572 nucleotides) under Isonychia valida. RNAcentral describes it as "SSU rRNA". It matches the Rfam family "Eukaryotic small subunit ribosomal RNA", at positions 587 to 1125 of the family's 1831-position model. The record is from RNAcentral. Lineage: Eukaryota; Metazoa; Arthropoda; Insecta; Ephemeroptera; Isonychiidae.